GAAAUGCGAUAAGUAAUGUGAAUUGCAGAAUUCCGUGAAUCAUCGAGUUUUUGAACGCACCUUGCGCCCUUUGGCAUUCCAAAGGGUAUGCCUGUUUGAGUAUCAUGAAAUUCUCAACUCUCCUCAGAUUCCAUCUGUAGGGUGAGCUUGGACUUUGGAGGUUUCUGCUGGCGUUCGCCGGCUCCUCUUGAAAUCAUUAGCUUUGAGUUGAUCUUGACGGCUUGACCGGUGUGAUAAACAUCUACGCCGAUUCAUGCCGUCCUGAGCGACGACGUCGGAGACGCUCUGGCUUAUAACCGUCUUCACUGAAGGACAACGCCCUGAACCUUUGAUCUCAAAUCAGGUAGGACUACCCGCUGAACUUAA
This 366-nucleotide unclassified non-coding RNA is filed under the name uncultured Odontia. RNAcentral's name for it is "sequence contains ITS1". The stretch from base 1 to 105 matches the Rfam family "5.8S ribosomal RNA", at positions 50 to 154 of the family's 154-position model. The record is from RNAcentral. Lineage: Eukaryota; Fungi; Basidiomycota.